RNAcentral lists this ribosomal RNA (465 nucleotides) under uncultured bacterium. RNAcentral describes it as "partial 16S ribosomal RNA". It matches the Rfam family "Bacterial small subunit ribosomal RNA", at positions 28 to 507 of the family's 1533-position model. The record is from RNAcentral.
GACGAACGCUGGCGGCGUGCUUAACACAUGCAAGUCGAACGGAAAGGCCCUGCUUGCAGGGUACUCGAGUGGCGAACGGGUGAGUAACACGUGGGUGAUCUGCCCUGCACUUCGGGAUAAGCCUGGGAAACUGGGUCUAAUACCGGAUAGGAGCCAUUUUUAGUGUGAUGGUUGGAAAGUUUUUUCGGUGUAGGAUGAGCUCGCGGCCUAUCAGCUUGUUGGUGGGGUAAUGGCCUACCAAGGCGGCGACGGGUAGCCGGCCUGAGAGGGUGGACGGCCACAUUGGGACUGAGAUACGGCCCAGACUCCUACGGGAGGCAGCAGUGGGGAAUCUUGCCCAAUGGGCGCAAGCCUGAUGCAGCGACGCCGCGUGGGGGAUGACGGCCUUCGGGUUGUAAACUCCUUUCGCUAGGGACGAAGCUUUUUGUGACGGUACCUAGAUAAGAAGCACCGGCUAACUACGUG